Molecule: ribosomal RNA, 253 nt
Filed under: uncultured bacterium
Lineage: Bacteria
Description: partial 16S ribosomal RNA
Rfam family: Bacterial small subunit ribosomal RNA
Source: RNAcentral
UACAGAGGGUGCAAACGUUGUUCGGAAUUACUGGGCGUAAAGGGCUCGUAGGCGGCCAACUAAGUCAUACGUGAAAUCCCUCGGCUUAACCGGGGAACUGCGUCUGAUACUGGAUGGCUUGAGAUUGGGAGAGGGAUGCGGAAUUCCAGGUGUAGCGGUGAAAUGCGUAGAUAUCUGGAGGAACACCGGUGGCGAAGGCGGCAUCCUGGACCAACACUGACGCUGAGGAGCGAAAGCCAGGGGAGCAAACGGG